AAUAAGGUGCCUGAAUAAAGGGCUAUCUUGAUAGGAUAUAUAAUACAAAAUUUUUGUCCUUAUUA
RNAcentral lists this transfer RNA (65 nucleotides) under Anacestra spiniger. RNAcentral's name for it is "tRNA-Ile". Lineage: Eukaryota; Metazoa; Arthropoda; Insecta; Hemiptera; Alydidae. The record is from RNAcentral.